Hippocampus comes (tiger tail seahorse) is the source of this 1002-nucleotide long non-coding RNA. RefSeq lists it as uncharacterized. The record is from RefSeq and is a predicted model, not a curated record. The transcript has 3 exons. Lineage: Eukaryota; Metazoa; Chordata; Actinopteri; Syngnathiformes; Syngnathidae.
UCACGCAACUCCAAAGCACAUUCUUAUUAUUUCGACUGCACGCGUCAGGUCAGAACAUUUCGUGCACGGCUGGCACUGAGCGGCUCGCACAUUGUUCCGCGCUGAGUAAACAGACUCAAACGCCGGUGUUUUUUCGCUGGGGAGGUCGCCUCUCCCACACGAAGGCCUGAACAAACACUUUUUCACCAUUUUACAGUUUCCCCGGACGGGAGGAGAGUCCCGUUGGCCAGGCAGGUUAAUUCAGGUGUGUCCUGGCUUAACCAUUAAACUUGACUGCGGCUGACCAAACAUUCACUUGGGAGAAAAAUGUCGGGAAAGGUCAUUUUUCUGCUUUCUGUGGCGCUUUCGUCGGCUCAGCAGCUCUGCACACCAGGCGCUUCGGAUGGCUACAAAGUUCGGCUGAGCAUCCGAACGGCUCUGGGAGACAACGCGUAUGUCUGGAGCCAAAACGAAUUGUUCCUCUUUCGAGCCACGCUGGCUUUCGCCAUGAGGAAUCAUUUUGACGGCCAGGACUUCCAGUAAGGGAAAAAAUAUUUUGUUCAUUUCAACGCUUACGUAGAGUGAUGCUUUGAGAUACGAAAGACCUGCUGAGUGACCUGCACUGCAGGCUGACAAUGAAUUAAACUCAACUUAGUUCACAACAAGCAGCGGUUUGAGAGAUAGUACAGAAAAAAAAAAGGAUUCAAGGUGUCAAAUGCCACUCCCAGUUUACUGUCAAGCUAACGCCUCUCUUAGCUUAAUGCUAACAUAUCAUGGGAAAUGCUUUAGAUGGGCAUCUUUGUGGCAGUCUCAUAACCCUUUUAGACUAAUAUUAAUGCAAUGAAGUUCAAUGUUAUAGAGUGCCAUUUAAAGACAAAAAAAGUAUUGCAAUUUUUUUUUAUGUUUGGGAGGCUGGAACGAAUUAAGCGCAUUUCCAUUCAUUUCAGUGGAGCAAGUCGAUUUGAAAGACAAACGUUUUAAGAUUGCCACUAUGAUCACAUUUAGAAAUCUUUUCAUUUUUCU